UACGUAGGGUGCGAGCGUUGUCCGGAAUUAUUGGGCGUAAAGGGCUCGUAGGCGGUUUGUCGCGUCGGGAGUGAAAACGCCGUGCUUAACACGGCGCUUGCUUUCGAUACGGGCAGACUAGAGGUAUGCAGGGGAGAACGGAAUUCCUGGUGUAGCGGUGAAAUGCGUAGAUAUCUGGAGGAACACCGGUGGCGAAGGCGGCAUCCUGGACCGAUAUUGACGCUGAGGAGCGAAAGCCAGGGGAGCAAACGGG
Molecule: ribosomal RNA, 253 nt
Filed under: uncultured bacterium
Lineage: Bacteria
Description: partial 16S ribosomal RNA
Rfam family: Bacterial small subunit ribosomal RNA
Source: RNAcentral